UUUUCCGUGUUAAAACUUGUUAAGACAAGGAACUUUGCGGAAUUACCAUUUUUGCCUGACCGUUCAUCCACGCAGCAAUGGCGUAAGACGUAUUGAACCAUCAGGCAGUUAGCGGGCUGCGGGUUGCAGUCCUUACCGGUAAGAUGGAAGCUUCUCUGGCGAAACAUUCCCAGGCAGUUCCCCUGAUAAUUGCGCUGUAUUUCCAGAUGAAAUACAGGCUACCGACACUCCGCGCCUCUUAAGCGAACGACAACCGUGAGGUUGGCGACGUGAACAGUCACGAGGCCAUCGGUUCAUACCCGGAAAGGCGUUAUCUUGCCCGCAGCUUAGUCGUCAA
The sequence is a regulatory RNA element, 337 nucleotides long. It matches the Rfam family "RNase E 5' UTR element". From Rfam's summary of the family: This family represents a conserved element found in the 5' UTR of RNase E mRNA. The record is from Rfam.